RNAcentral lists this ribosomal RNA (497 nucleotides) under uncultured bacterium. Its description in RNAcentral is "partial 16S ribosomal RNA". It matches the Rfam family "Bacterial small subunit ribosomal RNA", at positions 28 to 507 of the family's 1533-position model. The record is from RNAcentral.
GAUGAACGCUGGCGGCGUGCCUAAUGCAUGCAAGUCGAGCGAACAGACGAGGAGCUUGCUCCUCUGACGUUAGCGGCGGACGGGUGAGUAACACGUGGAUAACCUACCUAUAAGACUGGGAUAACUUCGGGAAACCGGAGCUAAUACCGGAUAAUAUAUUGAACCGCAUGGUUCAAUAGUGAAAGACGGUUUUGCUGUCACUUAUAGAUGGAUCCGCGCCGCAUUAGCUAGUUGGUAAGGUAACGGCUUACCAAGGCAACGAUGCGUAGCCGACCUGAGAGGGUGAUCGGCCACAUUGGAACUGAGAGACGGUCCAGACUCCUACGGGAGGCCGCAGUGGGGAAGCUUCCGAAAUGGGCGAAAGCCUGACGGAGCAACGCCGCGGGAGUGAUGAAGGUCUUCGGAUCGUAAAACUCUGUUAUUAGGGAAGAACAAAUGUGUAAGUAACUAUGCACGUCUUGACGGUACCUAAUCAGAAAGCCACGGCUAACUACGUG